UCAUUGCUAAAAGCAAUUUCAAAGUGCUACAGAGUAAAAACAAGAUAUAAAUGAUAAUUAAAAAAACACGUUUAAGAACAUCGGUAAAAGAAAAAGUACUAUAUUAAGGCGAAUGCUUGUUUAAAAAAGAAAGGUUUUUAGGCCCUUCUUCCUCUGAAGUCCUCGUGGGACGGUUUCUCUGUCAGUGCGUCACAAACUGAACUUGAGACUCACCAGCAGAGGGCGCCACGCCAACGUUCUUCACGCUGGAGUCCUUAUCUGGUCAACAUCUCACUUUAAAGAAAUAUGAGGGGUUGGUCUUUUUCCCCCAAUGAGGUACACCCGGGACUCGACGUGAAUCAUCCCCCUGCUUCGAGAGCCUGAAGCUGGGAUAUCGACAGGCUGAUCCAUAUCACAUCAGUUCUGUGUUACCUCAUCUGAAUUCCAUCCUGCGAGUCGCUCUAUAAACCUCAAAUAUCAACUUACAUUCUUAUCUCUCAUGAAAAUCAGACACACGUGUAAUGUGAAAAGCUCCCACUCGCAAUAAUCAACCAGUGGCAGUUUUUCCUCAACAUUAUGGAGCUUCUUCUUUUUUUGUACAGCAUCUUUGAACACAUUACUUCUUCCAUUGCUCUCAUCAGUGGCGUUUACAGCCUGCAGCAGAGGAGACGUCCUAAAAACCCAAGCACCAAUCAGCAGUCAGGCAAAGUUGCCGAGUGGCUGAGUACGAACUGAAAUUCGACUAAUGAACAGAAACAAAAUAUCACCAUAAAUGCUAAUGUAGUUACUGUACAUGUCUAUCGGUUAACAGAGACACUGUAUGAAGUGACAGUUCAUCAAAAAUGUUUUCGCUCUUACCUCAAACCCUCAUCCUACAACAAUUAAUGAACUUUUUUUGCAAUACAGAUGCAGAAAUUAAGUAAAACAUUUUCCUGUAUGUGUUGACCCUGGAGAGAGCGUCUUCUUUUCACCUCUUCCUGUACGGUCUCAUCACAAUAAAAUAUAGAUCUAAAGUAAAAUAUGAACAAGUCACAACAUGUAUCCACACAGAUCUUGUUGGGUUGAUUUGUAGUUGUGCUACACGAUCUACUGACGUGAAUCUAAAAAAAGAAGAAGAAGAAUUUAAGGAGUCAAGUGGCUAACAUAUGUUUUUGUAAUAAUUCAGUUAAUGCCAAACUCUGUCAGACUCUCAAGAAUGACUUGAUGGUACAUUUGUUAAUAUUGUUUCCCGACUUUUAAAUAUAUGCUACAUGUUAAAUUGGAACGGGCAAGAAAAGAUUAAGCAGUUGAAGUGAGUUGUACUCAAUGUGAUAGGGGCAACAAAGUUUUCAUGUUUGAGUCGAAGGAUUUGCUUUAUUGAUUUUGACUUUUUGACCUUUUUUUGUAAGAAUCAGCGAAUAUUGUUAAUAAUAAUAGUUAAAGAUUACUAAUGGAUUAACUGUUGCAGCUGCAGUACAGAGUGAGACGCUUGGCCUUGUUGUAUGGUUUCCAUUCAUUUCCUAAUUGGAUAAUUAUUUGUGUGAUAUAUUGUGGAUAAUUAUUAUCAUGAUUUAUUCUUUGCGAGACAGUUCCCUGUGUGUAUGAAUGGACACCGAUCAACAGAGAUAUUGUUCCUCAAAGCCAUAUGAUAUAACUGUGCUGUUUUAUUAUGCCUGAAAAUGGACUAAGAAUUAUCAAAGCAUAAUUGUCAUUUCAUGGUUAUUAAUUUCUUCCAUGUCUGCAGAAGGAAGCUGAGGUAUGACAUUAUGUAACAUGAUGUCUUGUGAAUACACGACACAAUACUUCCUUGUUUCAA
Long non-coding RNA from Scophthalmus maximus (turbot), 1774 nucleotides. RefSeq lists it as uncharacterized. The record is from RefSeq and is a predicted model, not a curated record. The transcript is spliced from 3 exons. NCBI's taxonomy places the organism in Eukaryota, Metazoa, Chordata, Actinopteri, Pleuronectiformes, Scophthalmidae.